UCUCACGUUUAGAUCUGGGGGCGCCGGUGGUACCGGUGUUUGCACCGGUAGUACCGGCCAGUGUUCUGUACUCUAGUAUAAAUAGCUUUCCCCUCUUUUCUAACCGUUGGCUUGCUUAUUCCAGCUACUCCACCUCUGAGAAAACAGUCUCCAAGCUUUAGCUCACCCACUCUCUCUCUCCCUCUUGCUCCUAGACUUCAUUUCUUGAGAGAUUCGAGCUAGAGAAGUGAGAUUAGAGAGUUGGGAGCAUCGAUCUGCAACUUGAGCACUCCGUUCCUCGCCUUGCCGGUUUGGUUUGUGUUUGUUACUCUUGGGUUCUUGGAACCCUAGCCGGCUAGGCGUUCUUCGUUGUUGCCCGUGUUGACUCAUUUGUGAGGGCACCCCGAAGUUUUUGUAUUACCCUUUGAUUCUUAGUGGAAACAUCGAGCUAACCUCUGUGGUUGCUUGAGGAGGAGACCUAAGUGGUCAGACCUUCAUGGUCACCUCAACAACGGGGACGUAGGUACUCCUAAGUGGAGAUUGCCGAACCUCGGGAAAAAUACCUUGUCUUGCUGUGGAGGUAGCUUCGACUACCCUUGCUUGUGUUCUUUGUGUUCCUCUCUCUCUUCCUUCUUUCAACAGGUAAACAAAGGUCGAUCUACGGUUUGGUGAAGGAUUGAGCUAACGGAACUCCAACAACAUCCUCCUCUAUGCUUAGGAAAGUGGAGUAAAACUCAGAUCUGAAAUUUAAGCACUUUAUACUCAGAUUUCGUAGCUGUCUUAGGGAGUCGGUAGUACCAGCAGUUUGCGUCGGUAGUACUGGCUGUGUGACACCAGUAGUACCGGCCCAAACUGUCGGUGGUACCGACAGGCAUUUGAUUUCCGCAACUUGAGUUUUUGAGUUUCAGGUUUUUAAGAUACGCCUAUUCACCCCC
This 914-nucleotide long non-coding RNA is filed under the name Sorghum bicolor (sorghum). RNAcentral's name for it is "long non-coding RNA (SBIC_LNC016606)". The record is from RNAcentral. Lineage: Eukaryota; Viridiplantae; Streptophyta; Magnoliopsida; Poales; Poaceae.